RNAcentral lists this ribosomal RNA (354 nucleotides) under Bonnemaisonia hamifera. RNAcentral describes it as "SSU rRNA". It matches the Rfam family "Eukaryotic small subunit ribosomal RNA", at positions 38 to 417 of the family's 1831-position model. The record is from RNAcentral. Lineage: Eukaryota; Rhodophyta; Florideophyceae; Bonnemaisoniales; Bonnemaisoniaceae.
CAAGGACUAAGCCAUGCAAGUCUAAGUAUGAGUGAACUGUACAACGAAACUGCGAAUGGCUCGGUAAAACAGCUAUAAUUUCUUCGAUGGUAAUACUACUCGGAUAACCGUAGUAAUUCUAGAGCUAAUACGUGCCGGAAGGCGGCGCUUGCGCCGUGGUACAAAUUGGAUAUACAAACCAAUGUUUGGUGAUUCACAAUUUAUUUUCUGAUCGCACUUAUGUGCGACGCAUCGUUCAAAUUUCUGACCUAUCAACUUUGGAUGGUAAGGUAUUGUCUUACCAUGGUUGUGACGGGUAACGGACCGUGGGUGCGGGAUUCCGGAGAGGGAGCCUGAGAGACGGCUACCACAUCC